UCCCCUGUUUUUACAAAAACAUAGUUUAAGGAAAUAAUCUUAAAUGAAUUCUGCCCAGUGAUUUUUUUUUAAAUGGCCGCAGUACCUUGACUGUGCUAAGGUAGCAUAAUCAAUUGGCUUCUAAUUAAAGUCUGGAAUGAAAGGAAAUAUGAAGUAAUUCUAUCUUAAAGGAUUUUUUUUGAAUUUAUUUAAAUGAUGAAAAUAUCAUUUUAUAGAAAAAAGACGAGAAGACCCUUAGAGUUUUGAUAUUUAUAUAUUUUUGUUGGGGCGACAGGUAAACAUAUAACUUUACGAAUUAUCAUUGAUCGAUUUUUUAUAAGAAUAAUAAAACUACCUUAGGGAUAACAGCAUUAUAUUUUUUUUUAUGAUUGUGACCUCGAUGUUGGACUAGGAACUUUAUGGCUAGCCGUCAAAAAAGAUUGCUCGCCUUACAA
Molecule: ribosomal RNA, 434 nt
Filed under: Biomphalaria straminea
Lineage: Eukaryota; Metazoa; Mollusca; Gastropoda; Planorbidae
Description: partial 16S ribosomal RNA
Rfam family: Bacterial large subunit ribosomal RNA
Source: RNAcentral